RNAcentral lists this transfer RNA (74 nucleotides) under Slackia faecicanis. RNAcentral describes it as "tRNA-Gln". It matches the Rfam family "tRNA". From Rfam's summary of the family: Transfer RNA (tRNA) molecules are approximately 80 nucleotides in length. Their secondary structure includes four short double-helical elements and three loops (D, anti-codon, and T loops). Further hydrogen bonds mediate the characteristic L-shaped molecular structure. tRNAs have two regions of fundamental functional importance: the anti-codon, which is responsible for specific mRNA codon recognition, and the 3' end, to which the tRNAs corresponding amino acid is attached (by aminoacyl-tRNA synthetases). tRNAs cope with the degeneracy of the genetic code in two manners: having more than one tRNA (with a specific anti-codon) for a particular amino acid; and 'wobble' base-pairing, i.e. permitting non-standard base-pairing at the 3rd anti-codon position. The record is from RNAcentral. Lineage: Bacteria; Bacillati; Actinomycetota; Coriobacteriia; Eggerthellales; Eggerthellaceae. RNAcentral also lists the same sequence under 4 other names.
UGGGCCAUGGUGUAAUGGCAGCACAAGGGUUUUUGGUGCCUUUAGUCUAGGUUCGAGUCCUGGUGGCCCAGCCA